UACGUAGGGUGCAAGCGUUGUCCGGAAUUAUUGGGCGUAAAGAGCUCGUAGGCGGUCUGUCGCGUCGGCUGUGAAAACUCGGGGCUCAACUCCGAGCUUGCAGUCGAUACGGGCAGGCUAGAGUUCGGCAGGGGAGACUGGAAUUCCUGGUGUAGCGGUGAAAUGCGUAGAUAUCCGCAGGAACAUCCGAGGCGAAAGCGGCUUGCUGGAUCGCAACUGACGCUGAGGGACGAAAGCUAGGGGAGCAAACAGG
RNAcentral lists this ribosomal RNA (253 nucleotides) under uncultured bacterium. Its description in RNAcentral is "partial 16S ribosomal RNA". It matches the Rfam family "Bacterial small subunit ribosomal RNA", at positions 524 to 776 of the family's 1533-position model. The record is from RNAcentral.